UACGUAGGGUGCAAGCGUUGUCCGGAAUUAUUGGGCGUAAAGAGCUCGUAGGCGGUCUGUCGCGUCUGCUGUGAAAACUCAGGGCUUAACCCUGAGCUUGCAGUGGGUACGGGCAGACUAGAGUGCGGUAGGGGAGACUGGAAUUCCUGGUGUAGCGGUGAAAUGCGCAGAUAUCAGGAGGAACACCGGUGGCGAAGGCGGGGUCUCUGGGCCGGUACUG
RNAcentral lists this ribosomal RNA (220 nucleotides) under uncultured bacterium. RNAcentral's name for it is "partial 16S ribosomal RNA". It matches the Rfam family "Bacterial small subunit ribosomal RNA", at positions 524 to 742 of the family's 1533-position model. The record is from RNAcentral.